This 3218-nucleotide long non-coding RNA is filed under the name Sus scrofa (pig). RNAcentral describes it as "lncRNA (ENSSSCG00050027194.1)". The record is from RNAcentral. Lineage: Eukaryota; Metazoa; Chordata; Mammalia; Artiodactyla; Suidae.
ACCCAUAGCAUAUGAAAUUCCCAAGCUAGGGGUUGAAUCGGAGCUGUAGCCACUGCCUACACCACAGCCAUAGCAAUGCAGGAUCUGAGCCGUGUCUGCAACCUACACCACAGCUCAUAGCUACGCCAGAUUCUUAACCUACUGAAUGAGGCCAGGGAUUGAACCUGCAUCCUCAUGGAUACUAGUCGGGUUUGUUACCACUGAGCCAUGAUGGGAACUCCUAUCUGCUCUGAUCUUUAUGAUUUCUUUCCUUCUGCUAACUUUGAGUUUUGUCUGUUUUUGUCUCUCUAAUUGCUUUAGGUGUAAAGUUAGGUUGUUUAUUUGAGAUUUUUCUUGUUUCCUGAGGUAGGCUUAUAUUACUAUAAACUUCUCUCAGAACUGCUUUUGCUGCAUCCCAUAGGUUUUGGAGUGUUGUGUCUUUGUUGUCAUUUGCUCCUAGGUAUUUUUUAAUUUCCUCUUUGAUUUCUUCAGUGAUUGGUUGUUUAGUAGCCUGUUGUUUAGUCUCCACGUGUUUGUGUUUUUUGCAGCUUUUUUCUUGUUGGUUUCCAGUCUCUAGUGUUGCGGCUGGAAAGGAUGCUUGAUAUGAUUUCAAUAUUCUUAAAUUUACCAGCUCUUGAUUUGUGGCCCAGAAUGUAAUAUAUCCUAGAGAAUGUUCUGUGUGCACUUGAGAAGAAUGUGUAUGCUGCUACUUUUGGAUGGAAUAUUCUAUAAACAUCUAUUAUGUCCAUCUGUUCAAAUGCAUCAUUUAAAGCCUUUGUUUCCUUGUUGAUUUUCUGUCUGGUUGAUUUUCUGUCCAUUGCUGUAAGUGGGGUGUCAAAGUCCCCUGCUAUUAAUGUGUUAUUGUCAAUUUCUCUUUUCAAGUUGUUAGCAGUUGUCUUAUAUAUUGAGGUGAUCCUAUGUUGGGUGUAUAUAUACUUACCAUUGUUAUAUCUUCUUGCAUUGAUGAUUAUGUAAUGUCCUUUUUUGUCUCUUAUAAUAUUCUUUAUUUUAAGGUCUAUUUUGUCUGAUGUGAGUAUUGCUGCUCCAGGUUUCUGUUGAUUUCUGUUUGCAUGGAAUAUUUUCUUCCAUCCUCUCACUUUCAAUUUGUGUGUGUCCCUAGAAGUGAAGUGAGUCUCUUGAAGACAGCAUAUAUUUGGGUCUUGUUUUUGUAUCCAUUCAGCCAGUCUAUGUCUUUUGGUUGGGGCAGUUGGCCCAUUUACAUUUAAGGUAAUUAUUGAUAUGUAUGUUCUUAUUGCCAUUUAAUUAAUUGUUUUGGAUUUGUUUUUGUUGGUCUUUUUUCUUCCCUUGUUCUCUUCUCUUGUGGUUUGAUGACUAUCUUUAGUGUUAUGUUUGGGUUGCUUUUUCUUAUUUGUGUAUGUAUCUAUGGUAGAUUUUUGGUUUGCAGUUACCAUGAAGUUUUGAAAUAGUAUAUAUAUGUAUAAUAGUAUAUAUAUUUGUGUGUGUAUGUAUAUAUACACACAAAAUUGUUUUCAGUUAUUGGUCUCUUAAUUGCAAGUGUAUCUUCAGUAUCCUGCAUUCAUACCCUCCCCUUCUCACGAUUUCUGGUUUUGAUAGCAUAUUUGUGUGUGGAUGAUUUCCUGACUUUACUAUAUAUGGCUUUACCAGUGAGCCUUGCUUUUGUUUCUAGUCGUGGCCUUUUCUUUUCCACUUGAGAAGUUUCUUUAGUAUUUGUUAGGCUAGUUUAGUGGUGCUGAAUUCUCUUAGCUUUUGCUUGUCUGUAAAGCUUUUGAUUUCACCUUCAAAUCUGAAUGAAAGCCUUGCUGGGUAGAAUAAGCUUGGAUGAAGGUUUUUCCCUUUUAUCACUUUGAGUAUAUCAUGCCACUCCCUUCUGGCCUGCAGAGUUUCUGCUGAAAAAUCAACUGACAGCCUUAUCAGGGUUCCCAUGUAAGUUAUUUGUUUUUUUUCCCUAGAUGCUUUCAAUAUUCUCUUUGUCUUUAAUUUUGGUCAGUUUCAUUACUGUGUGUCCCAGGGUGUUCCUCCUUGGGUUUAUUUCUAUGAUACUCAUUGUGCGUCCUGAAUUUUAGUGAAUGAUUCCUUUCCCAUAUUAGAAAAGUUUUUUGCUGUUAUCUCUUCAAAUAUUUUCUCUGGCCCUUUUUCUCUCUCUUCUCCUUCUGGCACCCCUGUGAUAUGGAUAUUGGUGCUUUUAACAUUGUCCCCAAAAUAUGUAUUUUUUGCUUUUUUGCUUUUUGGGGCUGGAUCCGUGGCAUUUGUAGGUUCCCAGGUUAGGGGUCAAAUUGGAGCUACAGCUGCUGGCCUACACCACAGCCACAGCAGUGUGGCUCCAAGCUGCAUCUGCAGCCUACACCACAGCUCAUGUAACACCGUAUCUCUGACCCACCGAGUGAGGCCAGGGAUCGAACCCGUAUCCUCAUGGAUAUUAGUUGGAUUCAUUUCUGCUGCACCACAAUGGGAACUUCUUUUUUAAAUUUUAAUUAUAUUUUUUGGUUUUGAUUUCUAGCUUAAUUAGUCAGAAAGUGUAUUCUCUAUGUUCUAAAUCCCUUAUUAUUUCUGAAAAUUUGUUUUGGCUCGCUGGAUUUUUUUUAAUUUCCAAUUGAAUUUGAGAAAAGUGUAUAUAUUCUGCAGCAGUUUUUGAGUGUAGUGUUCCUGUAUAUCUAUUGAGACAAAUUUAUUAAUAUUCUUUAAUCAUCUAUAUCUAAUUUUUAUAUUGUUCAGUUAGGAAAUGUUAGAUUUGUCUAUUUGUCCUCUUACUACUGUUAAUUUUUGUUGUAUGUAUUUCCAAGUUGUAUUAUUAUAUGUAUAAUUCAUUUUAAGUUAUUUUUUGUGGUGAACCUAACCUCUAUCAUGAAUUGACCCUCUUUACCUCUAGAAUUGCUUGAAAUGUUUUUUACCAUAGUCUUUUUUGUUUGUUUUUGCUUAAUAUUAAUAUUGUACCAGGCAUCUUUUGAUUAGUAUUUUCAUGAUAAAUUUUUUGUCUUAUUUUGAGUUUCUGUGUAUCCUUAUAUUUUAUAUGUAUCACUUUUAAGUGUCACAUAUUUGGUUUUUGUUUUAUCCAGUUGCACUUUUCUAAAAAUCCCCUGUGCUUUGUCUAUUCAUCUUUCCAUCCCCACAACCCCUGGCAACAACUCAUUUUCAUAGUUUUGCCUUUUCCAGAGUAUUAUAUACUUGGAAUUAUAUAUAGUAUGUUACAUUUUUCAGAUUGGCUUCUUUCACUUAGUGAUAUGCAUCUACGAUUCGUCUGAAUCUUUUCAUGGCUUGAU